This 484-nucleotide ribosomal RNA is filed under the name Simulium fossatiae. Its description in RNAcentral is "partial 12S ribosomal RNA". The record is from RNAcentral. Lineage: Eukaryota; Metazoa; Arthropoda; Insecta; Diptera; Simuliidae.
CAGCAACCGCGGUUAUACAAAUAAUACAAAUAAAAUUUAUUAAUAAUAGUUAAUUUGUUUUAUUUAAGUUUAUUUUAAAUUUUUUAAGUGAAAUUUUAAAUUUAAUUAAUUUUAAAAUAAAUGAAGCUAAUAAAUUUUAGUAAUAAACUAGGAUUAGAUACCCUAUUAUUUAAAAAGUAUUUUUUUUUGUUUGAGUAGUAAUAGUUAUGUUCUUAAAACUUAAAAAAUUUGGCGGUGUUUUAGUCUAUUUAGAGGAACCUGUCCUGUAAUCGAUAAUCCACGUUGGACCUUACUAAUUUUUGUUUUCAAUUUGUAUAUCGCCGUUAUCAGAAUAUCUUAAAAGAGAAAAAAAUUUCUAAAUUUAUUAAUAAAAAUGAUGUCAGGUCAAGGUGCAGUUUAUAUUUUAGAAGAGAUGGGUUACAAUAAAAUUAUUUAUACGAAGAAUUUUAUUGAAAAAUAAAUUUAAAGGUGGAUUUAAAAGUAA